Gasterosteus aculeatus aculeatus (three-spined stickleback) is the source of this 2713-nucleotide long non-coding RNA. The record is from Ensembl. NCBI's taxonomy places the organism in Eukaryota, Metazoa, Chordata, Actinopteri, Perciformes, Gasterosteidae.
GUGUGUGUGUGUGGGGGCGGGCUGAGUGCAAGUUUAGCCGAAAGUGUUUUCUACUUGAUAUUUAAAUGCUGCCCUGUGAAGAACUAACAGCCACAUUAAAACAAAUGAGCACCUGCAGUCGCGGCCACAGAUGUAUGUGGGUGUUUUUUCCUUUAAAAGUUUCCACAAAAAAAAUAAAGAAAUUUUCAUAGAUUAUUUUGACAAAGACCACUUUCAGACAGGAUGGCUGGUGUCACCCAGAUGCAGAUACAUGUGGUAUAAUUAAACUCUACAUAAUAAACAUCCACAGCUGAAACUAGAAUACGUCAGUAACUAAUGACAGGGUUAAUAAUUUGAUUCUAAUUCUUUCAUGAGGAAAAAGUAGAGGUUAAAAAAAAAAAAAAAAAAGGUUAAAGUUGCACAGCUACAUUAUGAAAAAUGUUUCAUAGCUCAAUUUUGCAUUUGAUCUCAGAAGCACGGAGAUAGACCCAAAAGCAACGAUCCAACGUACACGGACUCCUCUCAGCUCAAACGACAUCGACCCACAGCUUCAAAACACGCCAAAUGUGGCCGUGCGAUGUGAAGCAGCGGUUUUUGCUGGAUUUGCAGGUUUUUGUAACGACACCGUGGCCGAUGCCUUUCAAGGCCCGUCUCCUCCACUUGAGCUUAGCCGCUCUCAUCUCUCUGUCUCUGCUUGUCCGUUCCAGCGGGUUUGCUUUGGAUGCUCGAGUGCUGCUUUGCGUUGCUUUCCAAAUGUCUGCUGCCUCCUUGCUGCCGUUGGCCUCUUGUGGACAACAAUGCAUUUUAGUGGGGAAGCCCUAACCCCUCACCCUCCAGGGUUACAGCGGGAUCAAACUAAUGGACAGGACUGACACGCGUUCGGCGUGUAAAAUAGAGCAUAAGGCAGUAGAGGCCAAGCGUGUUUUCAGUUGACGUGGGAGAAACAUCCCUUACAGCAGGACACGAGGAUGGACAUGACCUCUGACUGUCCAGUUUGAGUCAGAUGAGUCUUCCAUCACUUUUGUCUUCAGAUGACAGCUUUUACAAAGUGCAUCUCCACGAUUUACUUUGCAACGCGUUAAUAUCAGGACCGCACACAAGUCUCAUUAGAUUUGCAUUUCCUCUGUAAAACUGGAUAAUACAAGUCAAACUAUGGCACAGCAGUUUUGUGGUGUGUGUGUGUGUGUGUGUGUGUGUGUGUGUUUGUGUUAACCCCUGUUCAAACACACUGUGUGGUAGUGUGGGUGUGGCGUUACACCUCGCGUGGCACUGGGCAGCUAAGAUAAGAGCUGAUCCUAUCCAUGCCUCCCUUCUGCAGCGCCCGCCCCCACACACACAAACACACACACACAUCUAGUGUGGUACCCAACAUGCCAUUGUAAUCUCAUUUUACAAUCCUGAUGCCCACAGCCGCAAAACACACAGAGAAGCCAACUAAAUCCAGAUGUCACGCGUACACUACGCUGGAGGGCUACGGUGAUACGGGAGGUCACAUGGUGGAGCCGGCGCCACGUCCACCACGGCUUCAAGUCUCCCUCUCUCUCUGUCCAUCUUCGCUUGCAAUGUCCAAUUAAUCAGAAAGAGUGCAUUUUCCCACAACUAUUGAUAAAAGAAAGAUGUGACGGGCUCAGAAAUAUUCAGGCCCAAAGCAGCGUCACUCAUUCACUAACACAUCAGGUCCAGAGUGAAAACACAUUCAGACGAUAAAAGCCUUUUUCUUCUUCUUCUAGACCGCACGACAAAACUACAGAACCACACAAGAGAGAAAACUAUCCUCCAGGAGGGGAGGAGAGGGAGCGCUUACCUUCCCUCCUCUGGGAGAUAGAGUUACCAUUGGGUACAAACUGCUCUCCUAAUUCACCAAGACUUUCAGUGAUGCACACACACGCACACACACACACACACACACACGCAAGCACGCACACACACACACACACACACACACGCACGCACACGCACCUUCUGGUCUCCAGUUCAUUACCACUUUCUGCCUACUGUUACCUAUCCUAUACUAAAAGGAGGAUGUUAUAUUCUUUUUCAGAUAAAAAUGGACCAAAUAAACCACAUGAGGUUUGAUACGAAAUAUUGUGCAAUGAAUUACGGGUUAGUUUUUUUUUUUUUUUUUUUUUUUUAAAUCAAAACAAAAAAAAGUCUGUUGAGAAGUAUUUUAUUUUGUGUCACGUUUCUUCUCCAUCCAGAUCUAAAGACGGUGAAACCUGGUUCCAGUGGUCCAGGCCACGGUUAUUGGGCUCAUCUCAGGCGUGGUGAGGCUCUCACACACACACACACACACACACACACACACACCUUUGUGUUGUAUGCACACACACCAUCAAACUCCAACAGAGACACAACUCCCCUUUCAUUCAAAAUUGUCUCAUUUUCUCACAUUUUCAAAACGCAGAAAAUUAAUAACAUUAAUAAUAAAAACAUGUUUUCUCAAGUAUGAAAUUUGUUUGACAGCCGCCCGGUCCGUGUGCGUGUGCGUGUGUGUGUGUGGGGGCGGGCUGAGUGCAAGUUUAGCCGAAAGUGUUUUCUACUUGAUAUUUAAAUGCUGCCCUGUGAAGAACUAACAGCCACAUUAAAACAAAUGAGCACCUGCAGUCGCGGCCACAGAUGUAUGUGGGUGUUUUUUCCUUUAAAAGUUUCCACAAAAAAAAUAAAGAAAUUUUCAUAGAUUAUUUUGACAAAGACCACUUUCAGACAGGAUGGCUGGUGUCACCCAGAUGCAGAU